RNAcentral lists this unclassified non-coding RNA (266 nucleotides) under uncultured Chaetothyriales. RNAcentral's name for it is "sequence contains 5.8S rRNA gene, ITS2, 28S rRNA gene". The stretch from base 1 to 52 matches the Rfam family "5.8S ribosomal RNA", at positions 103 to 154 of the family's 154-position model. Lineage: Eukaryota; Fungi; Ascomycota; Eurotiomycetes; Chaetothyriales. The record is from RNAcentral.
AACGCACAUUGCGCCCUUUGGUAUUCCGAAGGGCAUGCCUGUUCGAGCGUCAUUAUCCCCCCUCAAGCCCCGUGCUUGGUGUUGGAGCUUGGAUUUCCUCACGGAGAUCUCUCCCAAAGACAAUGACGGCGGUCUCGUGGAACCCCCGGUACACUGAGCUUCUUUGGAGCACGUAUCGGACCUCAAGUGGUGCCCGGGACCCGGUCUCUUUACAUCUUUUUUAAAAGGUUGACCUCGGAUCAGGUAGGAAUACCCGCUGAACUUAA